RNAcentral lists this ribosomal RNA (749 nucleotides) under uncultured bacterium. Its description in RNAcentral is "bacterial SSU rRNA". It matches the Rfam family "Bacterial small subunit ribosomal RNA", at positions 28 to 769 of the family's 1533-position model. The record is from RNAcentral.
AUUGAACGCUGGCGGCGUGCCUAACACAUGCAAGUCGAGCGGUAACAGGUGUAGCAAUACAUGCUGACGAGCGGCGGACGGGUGAGUAACGCUUGGGAAUCUGCCUGUUAGUGGGGGACAACCCGGGGAAACUCGGGCUAAUACCGCAUACGCACUACGGUGGAAAGCCGGGGACCGCAAGGCCUGGCGCUAACGGAUGAGCCCAAGUCGGAUUAGCUAGUUGGUAGGGUAACGACCUACCAAGGCGACGAUCCGUAACUGGUCUGAGAGGACGACCAGUCACACCGGAACUGAGACACGGUCCGGACUCCUACGGGAGGCAGCAGUGGGGAAUAUUGGACAAUGGGGGCAACCCUGAUCCAGCGACGCCGCGUGGGUGAAGAAGGCCUGCGGGUUGUAAAGCCCUUUCGGUUGGGAAGAAAAGCUGCGACCUAACACGUUGCGGCCUUGACGUAACCAACUAAAGAAGCACUGGCUAACUCUGUGCCAGCAGCCGCGGUAAUACAGAGGGUGCGAGCGUUAAUCGGAAUUACUGGGCGUAAAGCGCGCGUAGGCGGCUUUGCAAGCCGGAUGUGAAAUCCCCGGGCUUACUGGGAACUGCAUUCGGGACUGCAUUGCUAGAGUAUGGGAGAGGGAAGUGGAAUUUCAGGUGNAGCGGUGAAAUUGCGUAGAUAUCUGAAGGAACAUCAGUGGCGAAAGCGACUUCCUGGACCAAUACUGACGCUCAUGUGCGAAAAGCGUGGGGGAGC